This 229-nucleotide unclassified non-coding RNA is filed under the name Occultifur sp. Its description in RNAcentral is "partial internal transcribed spacer region". The stretch from base 1 to 63 matches the Rfam family "Eukaryotic small subunit ribosomal RNA", at positions 1769 to 1831 of the family's 1831-position model. Lineage: Eukaryota; Fungi; Basidiomycota; Cystobasidiomycetes; Cystobasidiales; Microsporomycetaceae. The record is from RNAcentral.
CCAUUUAGAGGAAGUAAAAGUCGUAACAAGGUUUCCGUAGGUGAACCUGCGGAAGGAUCAUUAAUGAAUUGUUAGGACGCUCUUUUUAGAGGUCCGACCCCUUCAUUUCCUUACACUGUGCACACACUUCUUUUUCACACAUUUUAACACAUCAGUUUAAAGAAUGUAAAUAGUCUCUUAAUUGAGCAUAAAAUAAAUAAAACUUUCAGCAACGGAUCUCUUGGCUCUC